UACGUAGGGCGCGAGCGUUGUCCGGAUUUAUUGGGCGUAAAGAGCUCGUAGGCGGCUUGUUGCGUCGACCGUGAAAACUCGGGGCUCAACUUCGGGCUUGCGGUCGAUACGGGCGGGCUAGAGUUCGGUAGGGGAGACUGGAAUUCCUGGUGUAGCGGUGAAAUGCGCAGAUAUCAGGAGGAACACCGGUGGCGAAGGCGGUUCUCGGGGCCGAUACUGACGCUGAGGAGCGAAAGCGUGGGGAGCGAACAGG
This 253-nucleotide ribosomal RNA is filed under the name uncultured bacterium. RNAcentral's name for it is "partial 16S ribosomal RNA". It matches the Rfam family "Bacterial small subunit ribosomal RNA", at positions 524 to 776 of the family's 1533-position model. The record is from RNAcentral.